UGUGCAAGUUUGCUUUUUUGGGGAAA
Molecule: non-coding RNA, 26 nt
Filed under: Mus musculus (house mouse)
Lineage: Eukaryota; Metazoa; Chordata; Mammalia; Rodentia; Muridae
Also listed under: 1 other name
Source: RNAcentral